This 237-nucleotide long non-coding RNA is filed under the name Medicago truncatula (barrel medic). Its description in RNAcentral is "lncRNA gene11250". It matches the Rfam family "Bacterial large subunit ribosomal RNA", at positions 2523 to 2758 of the family's 2925-position model. The record is from RNAcentral. Lineage: Eukaryota; Viridiplantae; Streptophyta; Magnoliopsida; Fabales; Fabaceae.
ACCUCGACGUCGGCUCUUUGCCACCUAGAGUUGUAGUAUGUUCCAAGGGUUGGGUUGUUCGCCCAUUAAAACGGUACGUGAGCUGGGUUCAUAACGUCAUGAGACAGUUUAGUCCAUAUUCGGUAUGGGUGUUUAAGUAUUGAGGGGACCUUUCCCUAGUACGAAAAGACCAGGAAAGACGCACCUCUAGUCUGCCAGUUAUCGUGCCAACGGUAAACGCUGGGUAGCUAAGUGUGA